AUUCUUCCUACGUACGUAACGUACCCACUAUAAUUUCAGUUCACUAAGUCCCUCCCACCCACCCACUCUAACCCUAGCCCCUUUCCCCCCUCAAACCCGUCGUAAUCCCUCUGCCGCCUGUCUGCUUCAAACCGCCGCCGCCUUCUUCCUCUGCCUGACGAGUAGUGUCAUCGCUACUACCCCCUCACUCUGCUCUCAUCAGUUUUUUUUUGCUCCGUCGUCGCGCCGCGUGCUCCCUACGCCGGAGCUAGGCCAAAAUUAGUGCUUCAAUUUAUGGGCAUCAAAGGGCUGAAUAUUGCUCAUGUCAAGAGCCAUUUGCAGACUCUUGCUGACCUUAUUAGCGAUGGAACUAUGACGGAUCUAGCAUAGGCCAAGCUCCCGGAGAGGACAUUGAAGUGAUCCUAUAGUAUGUUAAUAAUCUUUGAUUUUUUUUAAUUUUUUAUUUUUUGAAAAUAUUAUGUACUGAUAAAUUUAUUAGGCGAUGAAAUGAAACAGUCCCUAGCAUGGGCAAUUUUCUGGGAUUCAUUUAGAAGAAGCCAUUUCCAACAUCACAGUUCGAAUUAAACAAAGAGCAAAUUCAGGUAAACUUUUGUUUUCUUUGGAUAUUGAUGGUUUCCAUGUGUGAGGCAUAUUAGCCCAGGUGGCUUGGGGUGUUAGAAAAUAUGUUUUUAAAAAGAUAAUAAUCUAUGGAUUUUAAAAUUGGAAUGAUUUUCAUUGAUUUCGUUCAAAAAAUACACAUGAACAAAUCCGACCUCAAACCAUGAGAAUUCGAAAAUCUUCAAAUUAUCCAGCGCUGGCUGGGUUCCAGCGGACGCGGCUCAAGAAGCCAGCGCCCGCUGGCCAAGAAUAUAAAGUAAUAUUGGAGAGGGUGAAAAUAAAGAAAAUAUUAUUUUCGUAUGCUAAUUAAAAUGACCAAAUAUUUCAUUUCAUGUGCUAAUUAAAAUUCUGGACAAGCGCUACGCAUGCAUGUACCCAUACUUGUAUCUCUAUUAGUUGCACCUAGCGGUCGCUGACAAUAAUUUCGAGUAUCCAGCGAUCGCUGGGACUCGGUCCAGCGCUCACGGGCUUGCAACGACCGCUUAUUUUUUGAUUUCAAAUCUGGAAAAAUCACGAGCAAUUCUUGUUAAAAUCCGUCCAAAAUCUUUAUAGAUUCCUGUAGAAUUAUGAAGACUCUGUGUAAAAUCGGUAGAUUUCUAAAAUCCAGAAAUCCUGAACGAAUACACCCCUCUUAUUGCAAAAUUAAAUCCCUUCUUUUUUGAACACGUACCUUGUAAGUCAAAAUUGUAUUAGGCCUGUAUGCGAUCUGCUUGUAUGCCCCUGGCCCAAGGAUCGUCACAGUAUGUUUGGAAGGUCUUGAAAAGGAGUAAAUUGCAAAUAAUCAGUUGCAUCUUGGGGCACAACUUAUUGCUAUUAAGCAGCAAUUGAUAAUUUUUUCUAUCGCGAUCAUGUUUGAUUAGUUGAUAGAUUUCUACUUUACCUAUGUCAUACUUGGUAUUUUCAAUUUUAAAUCAAUUGAUGAUAUGUACUUGAUAUUUGGUACUUUGUUGUUAAUUUUAGGUAUGAAAUUUGUAUUACUUGCUACAAGAUUGUUAAUGAAAUAUUUUUAUUUUGAACGGAAUAAAAUUUAUUGUAUUUUAA
This is a long non-coding RNA of Salvia miltiorrhiza (redroot sage), 1638 nucleotides long. RefSeq lists it as uncharacterized. The record is from RefSeq and is a predicted model, not a curated record. The transcript is spliced from 4 exons. NCBI's taxonomy places the organism in Eukaryota, Viridiplantae, Streptophyta, Magnoliopsida, Lamiales, Lamiaceae.